Molecule: small RNA, 112 nt
Filed under: Flavobacterium haoranii
Lineage: Bacteria; Pseudomonadati; Bacteroidota; Flavobacteriia; Flavobacteriales; Flavobacteriaceae
Description: Flavobacterium sp. LQY-7 Flavo-1 RNA
Rfam family: Flavo-1 RNA
Source: Rfam by way of RNAcentral
UUUCAACUGCGUGAAGGAUGGAAACGGUAUCCUUUUUGUUUGUUUUAAGAUUGCCACGUCGUUCCGACUCGCAAUGACAAACAAAAAGAUAAAGUGGACAGCCUGACCGAAU